RNAcentral lists this long non-coding RNA (1168 nucleotides) under Vulpes vulpes (red fox). RNAcentral describes it as "lncRNA (ENSVVUG00000016102.1)". The record is from RNAcentral. Lineage: Eukaryota; Metazoa; Chordata; Mammalia; Carnivora; Canidae.
GCUUGGUAGAGCUAUAGACUCUUGGGCCCAGCCCAGACCUCCUAAAUCAGAAGCUGCAUUUUGAUAAUAUUAAGGUUAGAGAAGCACAGCACUUGGAUGACUCUCAGGGCUAUGGUUUGGGUGACUUGAUGGAUGGUGGUGUCAUUUGCAAGAUAGGGCAGGGCUGAGAUAGGAUGAGUCAGAGGAACACUUCAUGGCCAGCACUGAAAUGAGAGUAUGACAUGGCAGGAAAGGCUUUCAUCUGAGCCGAGAACAAUAGCAAUGUGAAGCUUAGUGGAAUUACGAGUCUACAUUUUCACCUGGAAUGCUGAGAUAACAUGUGCAUCUGUCUUCACAUUCAUAGCAAUCACAUGGUGAAUGGUAUGGAUGCUCCCAUCCUUCACCAGCAGCCUUUGUUAAGAAUUUCAAGGGCAGCCCCGGUGGCGCAGCGGUUUAGCACCGCCUGAAGCCCGGGGUGUGAUCCUGGAGUCCCGGGAUCGAGUCCCACGUCAGGCUUCCUGCAUGGAGCCUGCUUCUCCCUCUGCCUGUGUCUCUGCCUCUCUCUCUCUGAAUAAAUAAAUCUUAAAAAAAAAAAAAAAAGAAUUUCAAGAAUAGCACUGGAAAUUGUUUUCUAUCUCAGCCACAGCUGCCUCUGAUGGAGAGUGGCCUGGCUAUUGUCUAAAUGAGGCCCAAGUGUGAAUGGUAAAGCCCAUGAUUAUGAAAGUCUUCAGGUUUUUGCAGAGCUCGGCCAAAGUGAAUGUCACAGAGCUUACUGUGAAAAUGAAGGGAAACCUCAUGGUGUCUGGAGGCCAGAAGGGGGAGCUCUCAUGCCGUACCAUUUGAGAUCAAUCACAGGAAAAAUUGUUAAUUACAGACCCCAAAGAGAAGAAUCCUCAACAGGAAAGAAUCACCAAUGACAGGCCCCAACAGGGCAAAAUGUACAUUGCAUCUCCUACAAGAAACCAACUACUUCAGCAACUUAGCCAUUGAGAAACCAUCAUUACCCUGAACUCUUCCUUUUUUCCGAUGGACUUUUGUUCAAAAUAGCCCUUCCCAAUUUCCUUCUUCUCCAUAAAAUAACAUUUCUCUCCUUUGCUUUUUAGACUUGCCUGAGGUUUUGCCAUAGGUUGUAUGUCCUGAAUUGCAAUUCUCUACUAUUCCAAGUAAACCCAUUUUGGGCUGGUAAAAU